GUGGGGAAUAUUGGACAAUGGGCGCAAGCCUGAUCCAGCCAUGCCGCGUGAGUGAUGAAGGCCCUAGGGUUGUAAAGCUCUUUCACCGGAGAAGAUAAUGACGGUAUCCGGAGAAGAAGCCCCGGCUAACUUCGUGCCAGCAGCCGCGGUAAUACGAAGGGGGCUAGCGUUGUUCGGAAUUACUGGGCGUAAAGCGCACGUAGGCGGACAUUUAAGUCAGGGGUGAAAUCCCGGGGCUCAACCCCGGAAAUGCCGUUGAGACUGGGUGUCUGGAGUAUGGAAGAGGUAAGUGGAAUUCCGAGUGUAGAGGUGAAAAUCGUAGAUAUUCGGAGGAACACCAGUGGCGAAGGCGGCUUACUGGUCCAUUACUGACGCUGAGGUGCGAAAGCGUGGGGAGCAAACAGGAUUAGAAACCCGAGUAGUCC
Molecule: ribosomal RNA, 425 nt
Filed under: uncultured bacterium
Lineage: Bacteria
Description: partial 16S ribosomal RNA
Rfam family: Bacterial small subunit ribosomal RNA
Source: RNAcentral